Labrus mixtus (cuckoo wrasse) is the source of this 273-nucleotide long non-coding RNA. RefSeq lists it as uncharacterized. The transcript has 2 exons. Lineage: Eukaryota; Metazoa; Chordata; Actinopteri; Labriformes; Labridae. The record is from RefSeq and is a predicted model, not a curated record.
AAAGUGCUCAUGAUGGAUAGGCCGGAUCUUUGUAAUAUAGCAAUAAGUAAGAUCUUUUACCUGCUCUUUUGUAAUGUUAACAGACAAAGAGUAAGGUCUUUUACCUGCUUUUUGUAACAUAACAAUGAGUAAGGUCUUUUUACCUGCUCUUUUGUAAUGUUAACAGACAAAGAGUAAGGUAUUUUACCUGCUUUUUGUAAAGUGUCUCGAGAUAACACUUGUUAUGAGUUGACGCUAUACAAAUAAAAAUUGAUUGAUUGAUUGAUUAAUUAA